CUUUGGAAACACUAUGCCCCCAACAUGUUAGAUAAAAAGCCAAUGAUAAUGGUUUUACAAAAUUAUGGGACUUUUAAUGGAACUAUUGCGUGGUAUGGUUUGGUAAUGGAACUUUGAAUGGUUUAAAUAGUUGUGAAUGGGUAAUAUGAAUUAUUUUGUCUUUAUAGUUCUGGUUAAUAAAUUAUGGGGUACAUAGAAUUCCUCCAAGAAAACAUAAUA
This 219-nucleotide long non-coding RNA is filed under the name Capsicum annuum. RNAcentral's name for it is "long non-coding RNA (CANN_LNC002812)". The record is from RNAcentral. Lineage: Eukaryota; Viridiplantae; Streptophyta; Magnoliopsida; Solanales; Solanaceae.